Molecule: long non-coding RNA, 4428 nt
Filed under: Brassica napus (rape)
Lineage: Eukaryota; Viridiplantae; Streptophyta; Magnoliopsida; Brassicales; Brassicaceae
Description: long non-coding RNA (BNAP_LNC001385)
Source: RNAcentral
AGAGCUGUCUUACGGUUGAUAUCUUCCUCUAAAGCAUUCAAAUGCUUCUCUUUCUCGUUAAGAUUAUAAGACCUCUCCGUUAUGUCCUUUUCUUUCUCUGCCAAUGCCCUUGACUGAACUUCCAAGUCAUGUUCCUUUUCACCAACAAGGUCUUCCCUCUGCCUGAUAUCAACCUCUCUUAGUUCCCAAGCCCGUCUCUUGCUCUCGAUUUCAUCUUCCACCGCUUUGUACCUGCUUUCCAACUCAGCUUCCACAUCGGAUUUUCUUUUCCUCAGGAUAACCUCUUGAUUUGCUAAGACCUUCUGAAUCAGCUCCUGUGUAUUGAUAGUUUAAAAGCAUUUUAACUCUUGCAAACUAAAGUAUGAAUGAUAACUACAAAGUUCGUUAGAAUGAACAAGUAAACUCACAGAUUCUUUGGUGGCAAUUUUUUCUUCAGCAACAAGCAGCUCUUGCUCUUUCUUAAGUAGUGAAGAUUCCCUUUCAGAGACAGCCUGUUAUUGCAAGGGAACAAAACAUAAUGCUAUAAGUUCUUUGGUUGACGUGUUGAGCAGCAGUAGAAACAAAAGAUAUGUGUAUACAAACCUCUUCUCUUCUAGCAAGCGAAGCCAGCUCGAUCUCCAAAUUGGAUUUUCUGUCCUCAAAGGCUCUACGUUCCUCCUCAAAUGUACUCUUUGCAGACUCUAACCCCUUCUGAAGUUCAGCUAGUUCUUGGGAUUUACCAAAAAUGUGAUCUUCUCGCUGGUUUAGGGAAGCUUGUGCAUCCAAUAAUCUUUCAUGCUCUUGCUGCAAGCUCUUUCGCCUCUCACUUAGAGUCUGUCGCUCAAUAACGAUCUCGCUCUCUCUUGUUUCAGACCUAAACCAUAGAACGAAUGAAAACAGUUUAAUACCACAAAUGCCUUAUAGUCCAGUUAACAGAGACAGAAGACUUACUCAGACUUGAAAGAUGCAAGACGGCGAGCAAGAUCAUCUUCACGGCUCUCAACUUCCUUCAAUUUUCUCUCAGCAAUCCGGUGAUACCGGUUAGCUUCAGCCUGUAGAGCCUCAGCUGCGCGCAUUUUUGCUUCAGCAUCUGCAAAUUUCUUGAGAGCAUCCUCAAUCAUACUGUGACCUUCAGACAGUUUACUCUCAGCGGAAACUUUCGUCUCGGCACACUCUGCACGAAUCUCAUGCACAGUCUUCUCCAGCUGAGGACAAACAGAAGAAAACAAAAUCAAUUAAAAAAAUUGAAAAAAACCCUUUUUUGCCAGCUCUCAAAAGUUAAGGAAGGACUUACACUAGAGAUACACUCUUUAGCAACCCCGACAUCUUUCUUCAAACUCUCUUCUCGUUUCUUGGCUUCAGCCAAGGCGGAGACAUAGGCAGACAGAUCGCGCCGAUGUGCAAGGUCGGCUUCAUCAACAGAGGACUUAACCUCCUCAUACUUGGACAGCAAAUCGUCUUUCUCCAUGAUUAGAAGACCCAUGUUGUGUUGGUAAUCAUACACCUAACAUCCAAAAUUACGAUCAACAUAAAUAAAAACAAUCUAAAAAAGAAUCAAAGCUGAAAAGAGAAACAAAAAUCGAGACUUUAAAGACUUCCAAAAAGCAAAGCAAUAAUAACUCUCCAUCAAAACCAAUUCCAUACAAUAAAUGUUCAACAAAACGAACGGUAUGGAACAGUUGCUCUCCUUACUUACUUAGCCGGGAAAAAUCAAAUUCAUAUCAACUCAAAAUUGAACUAUUAGGCACAAGCUUCUAACAGCCUUUAAUUUCUAGCCCAAAAACACUCGCUAAAGCCUUAAACACUGUGUAAUUCUACAAGAGAUUUUCAUCGGAGAAAGAAAAUUAGGGAAGAAUCGAAAGAAAAAAAAGCGAACCUCGGAUUCGAGCUUGGCGAUGUAAGCGAUUAAGGCGGCUUUAUCCCUCUUUUUGAUCGACUGUUCAUCGAAUCCAGCUUCCUUGAGACGCUUCCACAUGAUUUCUUCGCUGAUAGGGCUUUUCAAAACCCUAGACCCAGGCGUAAUCGCUAAUCUGGUAGUUGCCGGUGUUCUCGGGACUCGCUCCGAGCUAGAAGACGUCGCCAUCGCGGUAACUAAUCGAACCGCCAAAAGUUUUCACCGAUCUACGAUCAGAAUCGCGACUGUAGUCUCUUCUCUCUCUCUAUAUAUCUGAAGAAGAAGAUACUCGGUCGCAGUGUAGUCUAGUCUCUCUCUCUUUCUUUUUUUUUUUUUAGGUCAAAAUGGUUUUAUAUUCAACUAGUCCAAAAAGUAUCAGCGAAAGUAGUAGCGUUUUAAUUUAAAGGCUUUCACGUAUUCGUUUUAAGCGGCUAAAUCCAAUUUUUUUCAAUAUUAUUAUGUAGUUUAAAAUAGGUGAUUAAAUAUGGUAAUUAAGAUUAUUCGACUCUUUACAAGACUGUAUAUAUAAAUUAAAAUUUAGAUUUUCUUAAUUCACUCUAAUCCUUUGAAAGUUUCAUACUAUGCUGUCUUUCACUUAGAAGAUGAGUAUAAUGUAUUUGUAAGUUAAAAUAUUGAGAGAAUGAUUUUUGAAAUUAAAAUACUGAGAGAAUGAUUCUUGAAGAUCUCUCUCUUUUAGUAACUUGACAGAUGUGUUUUGGUGUAUAGCCAACCCAUAUAUCUUGUUUGCCAGUAUUACAACUUUUAACCCAAAAUAAGAAUUAUUUACAAACACCUUUCUUGAAUCUUCUACGAUUUAUGAUAAUACUGACAGUUUACAUGGAUUUAUUCAAACCAGUGCACUAAACUACUUAUUUAUAUAUAUUUUUUCUAUUAUGGAUUUCAGGAGAUUUUUGGGUAACAUCAUGUUUCCUCUUUUUGUUACUGCUUGGCCCAGUAGAGUCAUUUCCAGAUGCGUUACCUCUUCUUUUCCUUCCGGCUUCAAGUCUUUCAACUGCAAUGGACAUCCCCUCGGUGUAAGCCUUCGAUGAAUCUAGCUUCAUCUUUUCUGAAGGCAAUCCUCUCUCUUCUUCAUGAUGAUGCAUUGGAGGUGAUUUCUCUGGAGACUCUGGAGAAGUCUUGAAUAUCCGAUUAGUGUAUCGUUUAAUCCAUGAUAAUGGAGCGGCAGAUGAAGGGCUUGAACCAUGGUUUUGUCUUUCCAUAGAAGAGUUGUUAUAGCCAUCUUCGCUAUUACUCACAGUGCUGACUCCAUUUUGCAACUCCACCUUCUGCUUCAGAGCAGAAACCUUUUCCCAGCUACGCUCCAAAUUGGAGAGCUGCAUUUUAGCCAUGGACAUGUCAUCUAAAGCAACUUUCAGAUUCUCCAACUUCUUCAGUUCUUCAAUCUCAUGUCGGAUUUCUUCUCUUUCAGAUCGAAGCAUAUGCCUUUGCUUCUCUAGUUUUUCUCUUUGAACCUUUAGCUCUUCAACCGAAUCCUUCAGCUCAGCCCACUCUCUCUCCCUCCUCUCACGGUCCAGUUUGAUCUCCAGCCUCUCGACAUCCAACCUCUUUAGUUCCACUUGGACUUGUUCUAACUCUUUCUUCGCUGAUUCCUUGAGGGACUGUAUACGUUCCUCUUCCAACUUCUUCUCUUGCUCAAAAGCCUUUUCUCUCUCCCUCGAAGCAUUCUCCAACUCUUCUCGUUUGUUCUCAAUGCAAUACUCCAGCUCUCGUUUCUGCGACUCAAUACCCAACAAGAAGUCAGCACGUUCGCGCUGUAUCUUGCUAAGCCACUCUGAAUGCUCCUCCACCAUUUUAUUCAUGAACUCUUCACGCUCUCGGUUAAGCGCCUCCACGUCGUUUUUGUGCUGAUUCCUCAACGCAUCCCUUUCCUCCCUGAUGUUAUCACGCUCGUCCUUGAGAUACAUUGAGAAAGCCUCCCUUUGACGAGUUAUGUACUCGGCUUCUUUUCUCAACUCUUCCCUUUUCACAUCAAUGUGUUCCCACUCAGCUUCGAACUUAGCUUUCUCCACCUUCAAUCUAUCUGCUUCGACCAGCAGUUCAUGCUUUUGACCCCUCAAAUCAUCUAACUCCUCCUUGAGGUUCAACUCCAGAAUGGAUAAUUCACUUGUCUCGCUCUUCAAUGCUUCAAGCUUUUCUGUUGCGGAGUCAACGCGUUUUCUCUUGUCUUCUAGUGAUAUCAAAGACUGCUGUAGAUCUAAGUCUAAUUUUCUAAGCCGGUCCUUCUCAUCCUCCAGCAGAGCUGUCUUACGGUUGAUAUCUUCCUCUAAAGCAUUCAAAUGCUUCUCUUUCUCGUUAAGAUUAUAAGACCUCUCCGUUAUGUCCUUUUCUUUCUCUGCCAAUGCCCUUGACUGAACUUCCAAGUCAUGUUCCUUUUCACCAACAAGGUCUUCCCUCUGCCUGAUAUCAACCUCUCUUAGUUCCCAAGCCCGUCUCUUGCUCUCGAUUUCAUCUUCCACCGCUUUGUACUUGCUUUCCAACUCAGCUUCCACAUCGGAUUUUCUUUUCCUCAGGAUAACCUCUUGAUUUGCUAAGAC